GAUGAAACUAGUUAACAACUCUGCCAGUAUCCGAUCAAAGAAUCAAUGCCUUGGUUUUCUGCUUCCUCUUCCUCCCGCCUCCAGACUAAAGUCGAAUGAACAGCAACAAGGUUUCCAGGAUUCCUGACGUUAGCACAGGGGAGCACUGGAAAUGUGACAACAUUGGAAAGAGGGUCCCUGGACUAUGUCACCCUUUGCGGCGGAAGCAGAAAGUGCCGGAAACACUCAGCAGAGGGUGGUAAGAGUAUGGAACGAGCUGCAAGAGGAAGUGGUAGAGGUGGAUACAAUAACGACACUUAAAAGACAUUUGAACACAUACAUUGACAGGAAUGGUUUCCAGAGAUAUGCGGCAAAUGCAAG
Molecule: long non-coding RNA, 360 nt
Organism: Pristis pectinata (smalltooth sawfish)
Lineage: Eukaryota; Metazoa; Chordata; Chondrichthyes; Rhinopristiformes; Pristidae
Exons: 3
Source: RefSeq, a predicted model, not a curated record